This 432-nucleotide ribosomal RNA is filed under the name uncultured bacterium. Its description in RNAcentral is "partial 16S ribosomal RNA". It matches the Rfam family "Bacterial small subunit ribosomal RNA", at positions 29 to 507 of the family's 1533-position model. The record is from RNAcentral.
ACGAACGCUGGCGGCAUGCCUAACACAUGCAAGUCGAACGAGACCUUCGGGUCUAGUGGCGCACGGGUGCGUAACGCGUGGGAACCUGCCCUUAGGUUCGGAAUAACUCCCCGAAAGGGGUGCUAAUACCGGAUAAUGUCUUCGGACCAAGGAUUUAUCGCCUUUGGAUGGGCCCGCGUUGGAUUAGCUAGUUGGUAGGGUAAAAGCCUACCAAGGCGACGAUCCAUGGCUGGUCUGAGAGGAUGAUCAGCCACACUGGGACUGAGACACGGCCCAGACUCCUACGGGAGGCAGCAGUGGGGAAUAUUGGACAAUGGGCGAAAGCCUGAUCCAGCAAUGCCGCGUGAGUGAUGAAGGCCUUAGGGUUGUAAAGCUCUUUUACCCGGGAUGAUAAUGACAGUACCGGGAGAAUAAGCUCCGGCUAACUCCGUG